CUUAUCAAGAGCGGCGGAGGAACUGGUCCUGUGAAGCCCGGCAACCUAAUUGCUUUUUAAAAGCGAAAAAGGUGCUAAAUCCUGCGGAUUUUAUCCGAGAGAUGAGG
Molecule: non-coding RNA, 107 nt
Filed under: pig gut metagenome
Description: SAM riboswitch (S box leader)
Rfam family: SAM riboswitch aptamer (S box leader)
About the family: The SAM riboswitch is found upstream of a number of genes which code for proteins involved in methionine or cysteine biosynthesis in Gram-positive bacteria. The SAM riboswitch acts at the level of transcription termination control.
Source: RNAcentral